This 452-nucleotide ribosomal RNA is filed under the name uncultured bacterium. Its description in RNAcentral is "bacterial SSU rRNA". It matches the Rfam family "Bacterial small subunit ribosomal RNA", at positions 28 to 478 of the family's 1533-position model. The record is from RNAcentral.
GAUGAACGCUGGCGGCGUGCUUAACACAUGCAAGUCGAACGAAGCACUUUACCUGAUUUCCUUCGGGGAUGAUUGUUCUGUGACUGAGUGGCGGACGGGUGAGUAACGCGUGGAUAACCUGCCUCACACAGGGGGAUAACAGUUGGAAACGGCUGCUAAUACCGCAUAAGCGCACAGCACCGCAUGGUGCAGUGUGAAAAACUCCGGUGGUGUGAGAUGGAUCCGCGUCUGAUUAGCUAGUUGGCGGGGUAACGGCCCACCAAGGCGACGAUCAGUAGCCGGCCUGAGAGAGCGACCGGCCACAUUGGGACUGAGACACGGCCCAGACUCCUACGGGAGGCAGCAGUGGGGAAUAUUGCACAAUGGGGGAAACCCUGAUGCAGCGACGCCGCGUGAGCGAUGAAGUAUUUCGGUAUGUAAAGCUCUAUCAGCAGGGAAGAUAAUGACGGUAC